CACAUUAUCAACUAAUAGCACGAUUUUCUAGCAUUUCAAUCCAUAACGACUAAUAUGACCCGGUAGCAACAAUAUUCAAAUGACAGCAAUAUGCAACCCAGUACCGUACGCUACACAAAUCACUGAAUAAGUCAUCAGUUGGCUGAUGAAUUAUGAGAAACUUUUUAACCCUAACCCAACAAAAACUGCAACCUUCUCUUGUAGUUUAAAAUAUCAACAACCAGUUGCCUAUGUUGCAUACAGCGGAAAACUUAAACUCAGUUGUAGCUCGUUUUGUAGAAAAUAGUGCACUAAUUAUCAUUGUAUCUAACCAUGUGAUUGAAUUUCUUGGAAAGUAAAAUAGUCUUGUAAAUGGGGCGGUCCAGUGGCCUAGGCGAUAACGGCGCCGGUGUUCACACGGCAGGACAAGGGUUCAAAUCCCAUCCAGACGGCCUCCCCGUGCGUAAGGCUGACUACUUUACUAAGGGUAAAAUCAAGUCACAGAAUGCCAGAAAUGGCCUCUCGAGGUUGUAGUGCCAAGGAAAAAAAUAUAGUCUUCUGAUACAUUUGCGCAUUAUUAUAUUUGCACCUUCUUGCACACGCAUUAGCCGUGGCCUGGAGAACUGGAUGGAAUGGUGCCAGCUCUUACCUCUCAUCAUCUGGAUGAUAGUGUAAGAUGUCUAUUGGCAAGUGCACAUGAUAUAUCGAACAAAGGCUCUCACCUAUCAUGCAAAUGAUAGUGUGAGAAGCCGAUCGAUGAAUGCAUAUGGUCUCCAGGUCACGGCCGAUACGCUUCUGCCUGCCGUUACGUUACCUAACCACAGCAAGAUACUCGGCCCAACGAACGGGGAACGAUCUGUACAAAAUUCGUAACCGUUCCUGUCAUCGUAUUAAAGACCAGCGCCACCGUAACCAGCUAUACUCAUAGGAUGCAAAAAGAAUAAUCUGGAAUAUUUUAAAUUUAAACUUCUAGCCAUGAUUCAAUAAUUAUCCACAUUGCAAUUGCAUUUUAUGUAACAGACGAUUAUUAAGCAUUCUUUCACAAUCAAAGAAAUGGUUAGAUGCGAUGAAAAUUAAUGUACUGUUUCCUACAAAUCGAGUUUCAGUUAAGUGUCUUUUUCCCCUUCCAUGCUACUUGUGCAUCUGAUUAUUGGUUUUUUAGACUAUGCAAAACAUUAGAACGUUGCUGUUUUUGUUUGGUUAGGGCUAAGACGUUUCUAAUCAUUCAUCAGCUAACUGAAAACUUAUUGUGUGAUAAGCGUAGCUUACGGCACCGUGUUGCGGAAGCUAUCGUUUGAAUUUUGCGUUUUCUGGGUUUUGUUGGCUCAUUCUUCGGGAGUUUUUGAGCAAAGCAUUAACAUCACUUACUAAAUACGUCCUUUUCUCUUUUAACUAUACUUCCAUGCACCCAUCGAGUUUCUUGCGUUUGGAGCACAUGUGGACACAAACCAUCACAAGCGGCAAACAAAGGUAUACCCAAAAAUCCUACCAACUAUAACUACCAUCUCAAACCCCACUACAUACUUUCUUUUUCCUUUUUUUCUUCUUUUUUUUACAUUAAAUGCACUCAACUAUCAUUUCUUGGACUCACUGCGAUGGCAAUGCGUGCUGGCAAGCCUGGAUUAAGUCAACUCGAGGAGGGGUUUACUGGGCAAGACAUCGAUUGUAACACUUGUAUCGAGUGAUUGUGAUCGAUGAAUCCCACAUUUCUCGUGGAUGGUUGGUUGAUCCAGGUUGUAUUAUGAAGAUAUCCCUCCUAGUAAAAAAAUCAGUUAUAUUAAAUAUUACAUAAUUAUAGCAAGAUUCUACCUAAUUCUGCCUUACCAUUUACAGGAGCAGUGCUGUGAAACUUUGAGAACGAAUGCGCCUAACACAUCGCUCGUUUUUAUGGACACUCGAAUAAUCUUUCAGGAGAAUAUACAUUUGAGUUAUCAUCAACAAAAAUACGGAAUGGACGGGAUGGACGCUUAAGGCAACCAGAAUUAUUUGCAUGUUUAAGCAAAUGGAUGGAUUUGUAAUUUAGAACUUAGCUUCCAGGAAAAGAAGAUCUUCUACACUAUCCACAGAGCGGAAUCGUCCCGGUUUGUUAGGCUGGCUAGUGUUAGCUAGUGGUUGCUUCUUGCCCAUGAAUUCUUCCACCAAUCCGGCUAUAUAUUCUACUCUGCCACUGAGCUGCCGAAUUUCCUGAGUAAUUAUGUCCUGCCGGACCUGGACGUUCGCAAGCAUUCGGCGCAUGGAUUGAAAUUCCUGCGCCGAACCCGUCGCGGAUGAUGAUACCGGCACAUUGUUGUUGCAGUCGGAAUUUUGCUUGGAAUCCAUCUAAAAUUGAAAAGAGCGUAGUUAGGGACAUCUUAACUUUCCACUGUGUUAUUUAAAACAGUUUUUUCUUGCCUUUUUGCGAAAAUUAUCGGAACACUCGUCACAAGACUAUCCUGAACCAGAACUAAAGCAAAAUGAAAUGUUCACCAUUCUUCGAAUUUGAAUUUUGACAGAAGAAUAAAUGUAUGCGAAAGCAAAACAAUAUCACAACGACA
This is a long non-coding RNA of Anopheles stephensi (Asian malaria mosquito), 2513 nucleotides long. RefSeq lists it as uncharacterized. Lineage: Eukaryota; Metazoa; Arthropoda; Insecta; Diptera; Culicidae. The transcript is spliced from 3 exons. The record is from RefSeq and is a predicted model, not a curated record.